UGAACGCUGGCGGCGUGCUAACACAUGCAAGUCGUAACGGAGUUUUAACGGAAGUUUCGGAUGGAAGUUAAGAACUUAGUGGCGGACGGGUGAGUAACGGCGUGGGUAACCUGCCUCAUACAGGGGGAUAACAGUUAGAAAUGACUGCUAACACCGCAUAAUAUAGUGAAACCGCAUGAUUUUGCUAUCAAAUAGUUUAUAGGUAUGAGAUGGGCCCGCGUCUGAUUAGCUAGUUGGUGGGGUAAAAGCCUACCAAGGCGACGAUCAGUAGCCGGCUUGAGAGAGUGACCGGCCACAUUGGGACUGAGACACGGCCCAAACUCCUACGGGAGGCAGCAGUGGGGAAUAUUGGACAAUGGGGGAAACCCUGAUCCAGCGACGCCCGCGUGAGUGAAGAAGUAUUUCGGUAUGUAAAGCUCUAUCAGCAGGGAAGAUAAUGACAGUACCUGACUAAGAAGCCCCGGCUAACUACGUGCCAGCAGCAGC
Molecule: ribosomal RNA, 486 nt
Filed under: uncultured bacterium
Lineage: Bacteria
Description: bacterial SSU rRNA
Rfam family: Bacterial small subunit ribosomal RNA
Source: RNAcentral